CUCCUUCCCUCACCUUCAUUCAAUUUCAGUCUCUGCUUCAAAAAAAAAAAAAUUAUGACUCUCACUUCUGCUAUUGUCAAAACACCACCACUAUGAGUACACCAAUUAAACAAAAACCAUUUUCUCUAAAAAAUUUCCGUGAAAACCAUUUUUCUUCAAUCUUUCUCUUGUAAACCUACCAACAUUAAACCUUCGAGAGAAAUCUUUCUCCUGAUUAUGUUGUUCUUCAAUCCAUCCUUGAAAACCCACCACUGUUUUCUCUUCAAUAUUCUCGUGCUUGAUUUUAUACAGGAAAAGUUAGGGUUUGCAAUUGUUUUGGAGGAUUCGUUAUGAAUAUCAUGUUGUUUGCAGUUUCUAAUUUUUUUAGGAAAUGACUCCAGGUGUUUACUAUUGCUGGUAAAUAACGAGAAGAGAAGGUAUAGUGUGUGAAUUGCUUAUAAAUGGAUGAACUUUGUUCAAAUAUGGAUGGACAGUUAUAUUUUUUGGCUGGGGGCUAUUUUCCCAAAGGGUUCACUACCAUUUAUUGUUGUUUAUAUUGGUUGUGCUUGCCAUUUGCUUUUAUUUGGUUCUUAUAUUAUGUACACCAUUCUCUAUGUGUGUAGUUUGUGAUCUGCAAGAAGGUAAUAUGACCCCAUUUAAAAACUCUUGCUUUUCACCCCUCCGUGUAUUGUUGGACUUGCAAUCUUGUUUAUUUCAAUUUUAAAGGUUAUGAAGAAUUAUCUGCCUCUAAUGUUGCUUUGAGGUUCAUGAAUGACGAUAUAGUGGUAACUCAUUUCGCAUGUAUAUAUAACCUAUGUUAAUUUGAUUCAAUCCAAGGAUGUGAUUUGGAUAUGGGUUUGUACAACUUCAAAUUUGCAGCCACAAGUCAAUGAGGGACCCGUGGUCUGCAGUGCUUACGAUAGGAGAUACGUGAUUAGAUAAGUGUUUUAAAAAUUAAUCUGAUGUAUCAUAAUUUGAUUUUACAUGAUGAGUUAUUACUUAAUUUAUAUUGGUAACAGGGAGUAUAUCUACCUCUUGGGGAUUUCAAGCUGGUAUGAGAUGCAAGCAGAAGCGAAACAUAAAAAGCGAGCUCAAUUUCUUAAGGAAGAAACAGGGUGAUAUCAAUACGGCGGAUGCAAAGAAAAGCUCAGAGAUGUUUGCUGCCAAAGGUAUCAAAGAAAGAGUGCUCAUGGAGGCUGAAAAAAACAAAGCAAGAGUGGUAAAGGAGGUUGAAGGUAUGUUUUUACAGAGAAUAUUUACCUGCCUUCUUUUUUUCUUGGGGUACAAUUAGUGGUAUUGGUUAUCGCUUGCGCCAAAAUCAAAUCAAAUCUCUCACGGGUAAUCACAGAAAUGUUAAGAAAAUUGUAUAUUUAUUUAGUAAAUAUAUUUACAGUACACUAGCGAUGACAAUUAUCAAAGUGCAGGUAACCUGGAACUGGAGACAACCAAAGGAACCAUGAAUAUCAUGCAUGCAGUUUACCUGUAUAGAGACGAAGUAACAGUUUUAGCAGUCAGCUUACCUUGUGGUUGUAUAUAAUUAGAAGUUUCUGUUGUGAAUCUUGUGAUCCUUUCUAAGUUAUCAGUAUAAUUGGAUAAGAAUCAAGCUUUUUAUACCUUGAUAAUCACUGCUCCAUUUGAUACCUUGUGUGUUCUUUUGUUCUGCAUAUGAAAGUGGGAGAUGCUCCAAGUUCUGCUAUGAGGAAGCAGUGAUGGAUUGCUUAUAUGCAAAAUGCAUUGCUUGCAUCAUGGCAGAGCUGGAGAAGUUAUGCCAGAACUGAAGAAUCGAGUUGCUUUGAGUUGUGCAAAGCAUCCUUGAUUUGAGAGACUGCCAUGUACUCACUAAGGAGCUGAUGAUUCAAUGGUUAAUAGAGUUACCCAGGAGAGCGUCAAUCCUGGAGUAGAAGUCAGUACCUCCGAUGUAUGGGUGAAAGCUCAUACACAAGAGGGUGGGGGAAUUUUACCUAGUGCAGAACCAUACUUUAAGAAGCAAAAACUGAUCAAAGAGUUGCAAGAUGCGGGUACUCCCGCAGCAAACAUAGAUGCAUUGAUUGAAGCAUUUGGAAAGGAUUCUAGGGGACGGGUUCGUGCUGUUGGCCCAGUUUCUCGUACGCAAGUUGAUAGUUCUGCCCCUGCGCGCGCUAAAGUGUAUGAUCUAAAGUCUAAAGAUGUAGUUUUGAAGCAUGAAGUGGAUGAACCAGGUGGUAAGGUAGAGGUUCUGAUCGGCCUGAGUUUAGAAACUGAACUUCAUUGGGUAUAUUGAUUGUAUGUUAUUGGACAGAAUAAACUGUUCAAAUGGAAGACUUUGUUGUUUAGUGCACAUUCAAUGUGUCUCUCAGUAGUAUUUGUUUGGCUUGGAUUUGACCUGAAAAUGUUAUAGGGAACUCUUGACUAAGUCAAC
This is a long non-coding RNA of Papaver somniferum (opium poppy), 2377 nucleotides long. RefSeq lists it as uncharacterized. The record is from RefSeq and is a predicted model, not a curated record. NCBI's taxonomy places the organism in Eukaryota, Viridiplantae, Streptophyta, Magnoliopsida, Ranunculales, Papaveraceae. The transcript has 7 exons.